GCAUUGGUGGUUCCGUGGUAGAAUUCUCACCUUCCACAUGGGAGACACUGGUUCAAUUCCUGGCCAGUGCA
RNAcentral lists this transfer RNA (71 nucleotides) under Loxodonta africana (African savanna elephant). It matches the Rfam family "tRNA". From Rfam's summary of the family: Transfer RNA (tRNA) molecules are approximately 80 nucleotides in length. Their secondary structure includes four short double-helical elements and three loops (D, anti-codon, and T loops). Lineage: Eukaryota; Metazoa; Chordata; Mammalia; Proboscidea; Elephantidae. The record is from Rfam by way of RNAcentral.